This 62-nucleotide non-coding RNA is filed under the name unclassified sequences. RNAcentral's name for it is "Transposase-1 RNA". It matches the Rfam family "Transposase-1 RNA". Rfam says of the family: Lactobacillales (Firmicutes). Environment (Human Microbiome Project, vagina) The record is from Rfam by way of RNAcentral.
CGUUACGAGGUUACCUCUGUCAUUAUCUUCAACUUAUGUAGAUAAUAGAAUGUAGCUGUUAA